RNAcentral lists this ribosomal RNA (390 nucleotides) under uncultured bacterium. RNAcentral describes it as "bacterial SSU rRNA". It matches the Rfam family "Bacterial small subunit ribosomal RNA", at positions 30 to 417 of the family's 1533-position model. The record is from RNAcentral.
AUUGAACGCUGGCGGCAUGCCUUACACAUGCAAGUCGAACGGCAGCACGGGAGCUUGCUCCUGGUGGCGAGUGGCGAACGGGUGAGUAAUACAUCGGAACGUACCCUGAAGUGGGGGAUAACGUAGCGAAAGUUACGCUAAUACCGCAUAUUCUGUGAGCAGGAAAGAGGGGGAUCGCAAGACCUCUUGCUUUAGGAGCGGCCGAUGUCGGAUUAGCUAGUUGGUGAGGUAAAGGCUCACCAAGGCGACGAUCUGUAGCGGGUCUGAGAGGAUGAUCCGCCACACUGGAACUGAGACACGGUCCAGACUCCUACGGGAGGCAGCAGUGGGGGAAUUUUGGACAAUGGGCGCAAGCCUGAUCCAGCCAUGCCGCGUGAGUGAAGAAGGCCU